GGCCGGAUAGCUCAGUUGGUAGAGCAGAGGACUGAAAAUCCUUGUGUCGUCGGUUCGAUUCCGACUCCGGCCACCA
RNAcentral lists this transfer RNA (76 nucleotides) under Puniceicoccales bacterium. RNAcentral describes it as "tRNA-Phe". It matches the Rfam family "tRNA". Rfam says of the family: Transfer RNA (tRNA) molecules are approximately 80 nucleotides in length. Their secondary structure includes four short double-helical elements and three loops (D, anti-codon, and T loops). Lineage: Bacteria; Pseudomonadati; Verrucomicrobiota; Opitutia; Puniceicoccales. The record is from RNAcentral.